RNAcentral lists this unclassified non-coding RNA (255 nucleotides) under Hevea brasiliensis (rubber tree). The record is from RNAcentral. Lineage: Eukaryota; Viridiplantae; Streptophyta; Magnoliopsida; Malpighiales; Euphorbiaceae.
AAAAGAGGAAAUUAGUAUUAUCGUAAGGAAAUUAUUUAAUUCUGCUAUUUUUAUUCUUUUUCUGUUAACCCUUCUUCUAGGGUUUCGAAACUAUUGUUGUAUGCCAACUACCUGUUAAAAUUUUGAAAUUUUUUGUUGAUUUUUCUUUUUAAAGGAUCAGCAAAUUAAAGGACCAGAUUUGCUGAUUUACAAUAUUUUCUGUAGUUAGGGCAUGGUAAUUUUGCUAUUCAACGUUGUAAUUUUGUGUGUAUAUAU